This 406-nucleotide ribosomal RNA is filed under the name uncultured bacterium. Its description in RNAcentral is "partial 16S ribosomal RNA". It matches the Rfam family "Bacterial small subunit ribosomal RNA", at positions 30 to 526 of the family's 1533-position model. The record is from RNAcentral.
AUUGAACGCUGGCGGCAGGCCUAACACAUGCAAGUCGAGCGAGCGGCGGACGGGUGAGUAAUGUAUGGAGAUCUGCCCGAUAGAGGGGUAUAACUACUGGAACCGGUGGCUAAUACCGCAUACUAUCGUAUGAAGCCCUAUGGGGUUAGCUAGUAGGUGGGGUAAAGGCUCACCUAGGCGACGCUCUCUAGCUGGUCUGAGAGGAUGAUCAGCCACACUGGGACUGAGACACGGCCCAGACUCCUACGGGAGGCAGCAGUGGGGAAGAUUGCACAAUGGGCGCAAGCCUGAUGCAGCCAUGCCGCGUGUAUGAAGAAGGCCUUAGGGUUGUAAAGUACUUUCAGCGGGGAGGCGUUACCCGCAGAAGAAGCACCGGCUAACUCCGUGCCAGCAGCCGCGGUAAUUC